AAACUAGCCUCUAAGUACGAGAGGAAAAUGGACCACUAAUAUUACGGAAAGAUAACACAGGGUCUACAAGGGGGGGCAAAAUACUUCUUGGUAUUAGUCACUCUAAGCAAGCAAAUUCUUAUCUU
Sturnus vulgaris (Common starling) is the source of this 125-nucleotide non-coding RNA. The record is from RefSeq and is a predicted model, not a curated record. Lineage: Eukaryota; Metazoa; Chordata; Aves; Passeriformes; Sturnidae.